RNAcentral lists this ribosomal RNA (151 nucleotides) under uncultured Pseudomonas sp. RNAcentral's name for it is "partial 16S ribosomal RNA". It matches the Rfam family "Bacterial small subunit ribosomal RNA", at positions 380 to 524 of the family's 1533-position model. Lineage: Bacteria; Pseudomonadati; Pseudomonadota; Gammaproteobacteria; Pseudomonadales; Pseudomonadaceae. The record is from RNAcentral.
GAGCUGAUCAGCCAUGCCGCGUGUGUGAAGAAGGUCUUCGGAUUGUAAAGCACUUUAAGUUGGGAGGAAGGGCAUUAACCUAAUACGUUAGUGUUUUGACGUUACCGACAGAAUAAGCACCGGCUAACUCUGUGCCAGCAGCCGCGGUAAU